GAUAAUAAUUUUAGAAUGGCAGAAUUUUUGGCCGAAAAUAAUGCUUGUGGUCAAAAUUUAUUACACAUUGUUUCUGUAGGCAAUGCAAUAAUUGCGGAAACACUACGGCUAAAGGACUACAUUCCGGACAUUUAUCGAUUGGAAUCAAAGGCUGAUAUACAGAAGUAUUCAGAAAUAAUAUUGGAUUUUAGCUUUUUAAAGAUAGCCGAGGCACAAGAACAAAAAAUAGAAGAGAAUCCGGAGCUACAAGAUCUGGAUGAUGAAGUUCGCGAAAACUAUCUUGAUCUCUUAACCCGAUUUUAUUUGGCAUUUGAAAGUACUCAUCAGUAUGCAGUGGAUCUUAAGCAUUUUAUUGAUGAACUAAACCGUGGUUACUACAUCCAACAGACUCUUGAGUCCGUACUUCAAGAUGGCGAAGGAAAACAAUUGAUGUGUGAAGCCUUGUAUUUGUUUGGAACAAUGUUGUUGCUUCUGGAUUAUCAUAUACCAGGCGUUAUACGUGAACGCCUCUUAAUAUCAUACUAUCGUUAUAGUGGUGCAAAAGCACAAGGUGACAGCAACAUCGAUGAUGUGUGCAUGUUGUUACGUUCAACAGGUUUCGUUGUUGACACAGCACCAACAAAUUUCAACUCGAAGAAAACGACACCGUCGCAAUACCCGGUUUCAUAUUUUUCUCGCUUUAUUUUCGAUCAAAACUUUAUCGAUAUGGUUAUAGGACGUUUACGUUGCGACGACCUUUACAACCAGCUCGCCAUUUACCCGCAUCCCGAACAUCGCUCCACAGCACUUUCCACACAAGCAGCUAUGCUUUUUGUAUGUCUCUUCUUCACACCACAAACACUACAUUCACAAGUGUCGCAAAUGCGUGAAAUUGUUGACAAAUUCUACGCCGAUAAUUGGGUGGUAUCUAUAUACAUGGGUGUAACGGUUAAUUUGAUUGAUGCCUGGGAUGAAUUUAAGGCAGCAAAAGCUGCUUUGGCGCCAGUUGUAGAUACCGCAGUCAAGGGAUUAUGUUUGUUGCACAAGGAGAAAAUGAAAAAGACCUUAAAGCAAACACAGGAAAUUCUUCGAGCUGGUGUACUCUCUGAUGACUUCGUGCUGCAGAAUAUAACCAAAAUUAUACCUUUAAUGCGACAAUGCAAUGUGCUAUUACGCUGGUACUUCACGCAUACGUCAAAAGCGGUAUUAGUUCUAUCAAAAAGUAUACAAAAAACGCAACAGGUUGAGCAACUUGUCUGCAAUGAAUUAAAUUAUAACAAAGAACAAUUGUUAGAGCUUUUACUUGACUGUAGUCAAUUAGAGUUGGUCGUGAAGGAUAUAUUACGUAAUUUAAUCAACGCCAAAACAGAACGUUGGACACAAUUCAAACGUGAAGCGUUGGACCGUCUAAAUGAACUUAGUGAAGCAUUUGGUGGAUCGCGUCCUCUUUCAAAAAUUGAAAAUAAUUCACAGUUGAAAAUGUGGUUUAGCGAAAUAUCGAAAGAAGUUGAAAAACUCAAUGCAGAGAACGCUAAUAUCUCCGGACGCACAUUAAUUCAACUAAUACAAGCUCUAGAGGAGGUGGAAGAAUUUCAUAAUCUGCAAGCCAACAUGCAAGUAAAACAGUAUUUGUUAGAGACACGAGAGUUUUUACAUCGCAUGAUACAGAUUAUUAAUGUCAAAGAAGACAUACUCAUCAACAUUCAACUGAUAAGCGAUCUAAGUUAUGCUUGGCGUUUAUUGGAUCGAGACUUUACAACAAUAAUGCAAGAGAACAUAAAAAAGCAACCAAGACCUGUGAUCCGCUUGCGCGCUGCAUUCCUCAAGCUAGCAAGUGCUCUCGAGAUACCGUUAUUACGUAUUAAUCAAGAACGUAGUGAAGAUCUUGUAUCCGUCUCCAAUUACUACAGCACCGAGUUAGCGAAUUAUAUGCGUAAAGUGCUACAAAUCAUACCAGAAACUAUGUUCAGCAUAAUGUCCCGCAUUAUAACUCUUCAAACGGAGGUUUUGCGUGAAAUUCCCACACGCUUGGAGAAGGACAAACUGAAGGAGUAUGCCCAAUUUGAUGACCGUUACACAAUUGCAAAACUUACUCACAGCAUAGCCAUUUUCACUGAGGGCAUUCUCAUGAUGAAAAAGACGCUAGUUGGUGUGAUUGAGCUAGAUCCCAAGCAAUUACUUGAAGAUGGCAUACGCAAGGAACUAGUUCGACAUCUCGCAAACGCUUUAAAUGUAGGUUUGAUUUUCACAACAACGGGCAAAACGAAGCAACCACCGACAGCUGAAUUAGAAGCGAAGUUAUUGGCAUUGGCUAAGAUAAUGGAUGGAUACAAGCGUUCUUUUGAGUAUAUACAGGAUUAUCUAAAGAUACACGGUUUGAAGAUUUUACAAGAAGAACUCACGCGCAUUAUCAACUACAAUGUAGAGAAGGAAUGUAAUGCAUUUUUACGCAACAAAAUACAAGACUGGCAAUCACGUUACCAAAGUCAAACUAUACACAUACCGAGCUUUACGCCCCUACAGGGAGACAAUUCGAAGUCAAAUAAUUUCAUCGGUCGCUUGGCACACGAAAUACUCCAGUGUACAGAUCCUAAGCAAACAAUUUUUCUGGAACUCAAAGCAGCUUGGUAUGAGAAGCGUGCGCCACACAAAGAAGUGCUCAAUGCCGGCUUUUUCAGUAAAGUACGUGAGGCAAUUGGGCCUGCCGGCUUAGUUGGUCUUGAUCGUCUUUAUUCGUACAUGUUUGCAGCUGAGCUGAAGCGGAAUCUAGAAAAAAUGCAAAAGAAUUUGGCCAACGACAAUAUGUGGCUGGAAGCAUUGAAUAGUUUAAGUACUGAAUUGGAAUCGAAACACUUUCCUGGUGGAAAUGCGGCAAACCCACUGAAAUUCUAUUUCGGUUAUCACAAUCGUUGGUUGAAGGUGUGGCCAACUCUUUUGGAAUGGUUGCUACUGUUGGGCCACAAGCAAAUUCUUCGACAACAGUUGGCAUUCGAGUUGAACCGGAGCAGCAAAUGUAAUUCGAAAAAUUUAGAGUCGGCAUUGGAAACUUUUAAUAGGGGCUCAAGAGUUGCAGAAUUUACCAUGCUCAUUCCCCCUUACGCAAUUCGCACAAAUUUGUCCAGAUAUAUUGGAAGGAAGUAUUACCCAUCGCGUUGAACAUGAACUAACAACAAUUCGAUCCCUUAGGCUGUCGGCUGCUUAAACAUUUUGUGGAAAGGGAACGGGUACCUCUCCGAUCUUUCCCACAUCUUCCAUUCAGUGCCUUUGUCUUUUCAAACCGAUUUACCCAAAGUAUGUAUGUCCGUCGAAACUGAUUGUUUCCUGAGUUCAUAUAUGCAAGCUGUGCCUGCUGCUAAAUGCAGUUAACAAACUGCUACAAAAACAAUAACACAAUAUUUAAUUAGCCUUACUCAAUGAACUGGAACAACCAGCAAUCUAUACGAAAUUCACCGAUUCAGAACGUGGCGGUCAAUUGCUAUACGAGUUUAAUGAAU
RNAcentral lists this unclassified non-coding RNA (3473 nucleotides) under Ceratitis capitata (Mediterranean fruit fly). RNAcentral describes it as "wASH complex subunit homolog 5, transcript variant X3". Lineage: Eukaryota; Metazoa; Arthropoda; Insecta; Diptera; Tephritidae. The record is from RNAcentral.